Molecule: unclassified non-coding RNA, 365 nt
Filed under: uncultured fungus
Lineage: Eukaryota; Fungi
Description: partial contains 5.8S ribosomal RNA, internal transcribed spacer 2, and large subunit ribosomal RNA
Source: RNAcentral
AACGCACAUUGCACUCUCCGGUAUUCCGGGGAGUACGCCUGUUUGAGUACCGAUAACUCUACCAUCCCACAAGUUGCGGGUCCGCCCAACACUUGAGCGAUGGAUUAGGCUGUCAGGCGACCCUACAGCAACUGUUGUAGGUCUCUGUAGCUAAAAUUGAUUGUCGGUUACCGUCGCCUCUUGAGGCUGACCUGACCCAAAGCGUGACAAUUCAGGCGAAAGCCAGAUUCAACCGCGAGUCAGUCAGAGAAGCAUCCACUCUUGAAGCGCAUCAACCCCCAAAAAUCACCCCAGUCUCAUGGGCAGUUUGCCAUUGAUUCUGAACACUUGGUCUCAAAUCAGGCGAGAGGACCCGCUGAACUUAA